Molecule: ribosomal RNA, 327 nt
Filed under: Triticum aestivum (bread wheat)
Lineage: Eukaryota; Viridiplantae; Streptophyta; Magnoliopsida; Poales; Poaceae
Description: partial small subunit ribosomal RNA
Source: RNAcentral
AUGUGCAACCCCGCCGGGAGCAAUGGACUCGUAAGUUGGAACUACCGUGGACUUGGGAAUGGCCCAGCAAUUCAAUCUCUUUUCGAACUGGGAAGAGCGGAGGAUCCCGACAUUUUGUUUCUGUGUGAGACUAGAAUGAAGGAGAAAGACUUGGGAAGGUUUAGGUGGCUGUUGGGGCUCGCCAACAUGAUUGCUUGGAAGGAUGAAGGUAGUGGUAGAUGGGUGGCCUUAUUCUGGAGGAGAGGAGUGGACGUUACUUUAAGCUCAUAUGGUAGGAGGCAUGUUGAUGUGGAUGUAACAAGGGAUUUGGAUCGAUCUAGAGACUAA